This 258-nucleotide ribosomal RNA is filed under the name Lineidae sp. KuramBio2 77.3. RNAcentral's name for it is "partial large subunit ribosomal RNA". The record is from RNAcentral. Lineage: Eukaryota; Metazoa; Nemertea; Pilidiophora; Heteronemertea; Lineidae.
AGCUUAUUGUUUUUUAUAAUAGGUAUUUUCUGCUCAGUGUAAAAUAAACAGCCGCGGUAUUUUGACCGUGCAAAGGUAGCAUAAUCAUUUGUUCUUUAAUUGGGGACUGGAAUGAAGGAAAGUUUGAGAUUUUAUCUGUCUCUUUUUUAUGUUAUAAUUUGCUGUUUUUGUGAAGAAGCAGAGGUUUAAAAAAAAGACAAGAAGACCCUUUUAAGCUUUAUUUUUAAUUUUUAUUUUGUCUAUUUUAGUAUUUUAAUA